RNAcentral lists this ribosomal RNA (253 nucleotides) under uncultured bacterium. Its description in RNAcentral is "partial 16S ribosomal RNA". It matches the Rfam family "Bacterial small subunit ribosomal RNA", at positions 524 to 776 of the family's 1533-position model. The record is from RNAcentral. RNAcentral also lists the same sequence under 1 other name.
GACGUAGGGGGCGAGCGUUGUCCGGAUUUAUUGGGCGUAAAGCGUGCGUAGGCGGCUGCGCAAGUCGGUUGUGAAACCCCGGGGCUCAACCCCGGAACUGCAUCCGAUACUGCGUGGCUAGAGGUAGGUAGGGGAGAUCGGAAUUCCUGGUGUAGCGGUGAAAUGCGCAGAUAUCAGGAGGAACACCGGUGGCGAAGGCGGAUCUCUGGGCCUUACCUGACGCUCAGGCACGAAAGCUAGGGGAGCGAACAGG